RNAcentral lists this ribosomal RNA (440 nucleotides) under uncultured bacterium. RNAcentral's name for it is "partial 16S ribosomal RNA". It matches the Rfam family "Bacterial small subunit ribosomal RNA", at positions 338 to 795 of the family's 1533-position model. The record is from RNAcentral.
CCUACGGUGGGCAGCAGUGGGGGAUAUUGCACAAUGGGGGAAACCCUGAUGCAGCGACGCCGCGUGUGGGAAGACGGUCCUCUGGAUUGUAAACCACUGUCCCCAGGGACGAAGAUGACGGUACCUGGGGAGGCAGCUCCGGCUAACUACGUGCCAGCAGCCGCGGUAAUCCGUAGGGAGCGAGCGUUGUCCGGAAUUACUGGGUGUAAAGGGAGCGUAGGCGGGACUGCAAGUUGGGUGUCAAAUCUACCGGCUCAACCGGUAGCCGCACUCAAAACUGCAGUUCUUGAGUGAAGUAGAGGCAGGCGGAAUUCCUAGUGUAGCGGUGAAAUGCGUAGAUAUUAGGAGGAACACCAGUGGCGAAGGCGGCCUGCUGGGCUUUGACUGACGCUGAGGCUCGAAAGUGUGGGGAGCAAACAGGAUUAGAUACCCUUGUAGUC